This 541-nucleotide ribosomal RNA is filed under the name uncultured fungus. Its description in RNAcentral is "eukaryotic LSU rRNA". The stretch from base 189 to 342 matches the Rfam family "5.8S ribosomal RNA". The record is from RNAcentral. Lineage: Eukaryota; Fungi.
AGUCGUAACAAGGUUUCCGUAGGUGAACCUGCGGAAGGAUCAUUACCUAGAGUUUGUAGACUUCGGUCUGCUACCUCUUACCCAUGUCUUUUGAGUACCUUCGUUUCCUCGGCGGGUCCGCCCGCCGAUUGGACAACAUUCAAACCCUUUGCAGUUGCAAUCAGCGUCUGAAAAAACAUAAUAGUUACAACUUUCAACAACGGAUCUCUUGGUUCUGGCAUCGAUGAAGAACGCAGCGAAAUGCGAUAAGUAGUGUGAAUUGCAGAAUUCAGUGAAUCAUCGAAUCUUUGAACGCACAUUGCGCCCCUUGGUAUUCCAUGGGGCAUGCCUGUUCGAGCGUCAUUUGUACCUUCAAGCUCUGCUUGGUGUUGGGUGUUUGUCUCACCUCUGCGUGUAGACUCGCCUUAAAACAAUUGGCAGCCGGCGUAUUGAUUUCGGAGCGCAGUACAUCUCGCGCUUUGCACUCAUAACGACGACGUCCAAAAGUACAUUUUUACACUCUUGACCUCGGAUCAGGUAGGGAUACCCGCUGAACUUAAGC